This 389-nucleotide ribosomal RNA is filed under the name Pseudomonas aeruginosa. Its description in RNAcentral is "bacterial SSU rRNA". It matches the Rfam family "Bacterial small subunit ribosomal RNA", at positions 1 to 388 of the family's 1533-position model. RNAcentral also lists the same sequence under 7 other names. Lineage: Bacteria; Pseudomonadati; Pseudomonadota; Gammaproteobacteria; Pseudomonadales; Pseudomonadaceae. The record is from RNAcentral.
AAAUUGAAGAGUUUGAUCAUGGCUCAGAUUGAACGCUGGCGGCAGGCCUAACACAUGCAAGUCGAGCGGUAGCACAGAGAGCUUGCUCUCGGGUGACGAGCGGCGGACGGGUGAGUAAUGUCUGGGAAACUGCCUGAUGGAGGGGGAUAACUACUGGAAACGGUAGCUAAUACCGCAUAACGUCGCAAGACCAAAGUGGGGGACCUUCGGGCCUCAUGCCAUCAGAUGUGCCCAGAUGGGAUUAGCUAGUAGGUGGGGUAACGGCUCACCUAGGCGACGAUCCCUAGCUGGUCUGAGAGGAUGACCAGCCACACUGGAACUGAGACACGGUCCAGACUCCUACGGGAGGCAGCAGUGGGGAAUAUUGCACAAUGGGCGCAAGCCUGAUG